Long non-coding RNA from Uranotaenia lowii, 907 nucleotides. RefSeq lists it as uncharacterized. The record is from RefSeq and is a predicted model, not a curated record. The transcript is spliced from 4 exons. NCBI's taxonomy places the organism in Eukaryota, Metazoa, Arthropoda, Insecta, Diptera, Culicidae.
AAAGUUUGCUGUUGUUGGAAUUUUAUUUGAAGGGAUGUCGAAGCGAAAAAAAGAAAAAUCAUUUGAGCUUUCUGAUGAUGAUGGAGUAACAGUCAAACAUUUUUUUGAUAUUUGCGGUUAAUUCGAUGUAAAAUCAUCAUCAUCUGUCGCUUCUCGUCAUUUGGGCUUUGGAAAUUGGUGAGUUGAUGUUAAAAUUUGUUUGUUUUUGUUUCAUUUCAGAUUGGGUUUAGUAGAAGAAAAAUCAGCCGCUAUCCGAUAAUGUGCAUCAGGAAACAUCGAAAAAGGCAAAUCCCGCUCUGCAUGGGCCGCCAGGCGCCGGACGGCUGGUUUAUUGAUGGCUGGAGCAGUCUCCGCGUCCGAGAAGUAGGAUAUGUCACACGCAGAACCAUUCCCGAUUCGAUUACGCCGAAGAAAGUGGAAAGGUUACAGCAGAAAACGGCAUCCGAAUCCGGCAACAGCAAAAGUUAAUAACAUAGGAAAAGCACAGACGGUUCUUAAGAUAAAGGAACAGGAAGGCAAAGCGCAUGUACAGGACUAAUACUGCAGAAACAGCUGGGAAACGAGCUGAACCAAGAGAUGUUGGAUCUGACCUUAAAUAUUCUUAGUGCCAAUCCGGCCAUCGUCUCAGUUGAAUCUGCAUCGGUGUGCAUCGAAAAGUUCUGCCAUUCUACCGGCUUGAGGGAGCAACCGUCUCGGUCUGGUCAGUUCAUCGGAACUGUUUGAAAAGAUUCUGAUUUCCCUCCCGGCCUUAAGGUAACAGAAAUGUGAAUCGAUACGGAAGGUCAUGGAAAUUUCAAGUUGAGCCAUAUAGGUUUGAGUUUCUGCCGAAAAAAAAUAUUUAAAAUACAAUAUUUCGCUACCACGACGGUUGGUCUUAUAUUUUAUGAACAAUAAUAAAGAUUUUAUU